Molecule: ribosomal RNA, 684 nt
Filed under: uncultured soil bacterium
Lineage: Bacteria
Description: bacterial SSU rRNA
Rfam family: Bacterial small subunit ribosomal RNA
Source: RNAcentral
GCGGCAUGCCUAACACUGCAAGUCGAACGAGACCUUCGGGUCUAGUGGCGCACGGGUGCGUAACGCGUGGGAAUCUGCCCUUAGGUUCGGAAUAACAGUUAGAAAUGACUGCUAAUACCGGAUAAUGUCUUCGGACCAAAGAUUUAUUGCCUAAGGAUGAGCCCGCGUAAGAUUAGCUUGUUGGUGAGGUAAAGGCUCACCAAGGCGACGAUCUUUAGCUGGUCUGAGAGGAUGAUCAGCCACACUGGGACUGAGACACGGCCCAGACUCCUACGGGAGGCAGCAGUGGGGAAUAUUGGACAAUGGGCGAAAGCCUGAUCCAGCAAUGCCGCGUGAGUGAUGAAGGCCUUAGGGUUGUAAAGCUCUUUUACCCGGGAUGAUAAUGACAGUACCGGGAGAAUAAGCCCCGGCUAACUCCGUGCCAGCAGCCGCGGUAAUACGGAGGGGGCUAGCGUUGUUCGGAAUUACUGGGCGUAAAGCGUACGUAGGCGGCUUUGUAAGUUUGUCGUGAAAUCCCCGGGCUCAACCUGGGAAUGGCGAUGAAGACUGCAAGGCUAGAGUUUGGCAGAGGGGGGUAGAAUUCCACGUGUAGCAGUGAAAUGCGUAGAGAUGUGGAGGAACACCGAUGGCGAAGGCAGCCCCCUGGGUCAAAACUGACGCUCAUGCACGAAAGCGUGGGGAGCA